This 433-nucleotide ribosomal RNA is filed under the name uncultured bacterium. RNAcentral's name for it is "partial 16S ribosomal RNA". It matches the Rfam family "Bacterial small subunit ribosomal RNA", at positions 29 to 507 of the family's 1533-position model. The record is from RNAcentral.
AACGAACGCUGGCGGCAUGCCUAACACAUGCAAGUCGAACGAGACCUUCGGGUCUAGUGGCGCACGGGUGCGUAACGCGUGGGAACCUGCCCUUAGGUUCGGAAUAACUCCCCGAAAGGGGUGCUAAUACCGGAUAAUGUCUUCGGACCAAAGAUUUAUCGCCUUUGGAUGGGCCCGCGUUGGAUUAGCUAGUUGGUAGGGUAAAAGCCUACCAAGGCGACGAUCCAUAGCUGGUCUGAGAGGAUGAUCAGCCACACUGGGACUGAGACACGGCCCAGACUCCUACGGGAGGCAGCAGUGGGGAAUAUUGGACAAUGGGCGAAAGCCUGAUCCAGCAAUGCCGCGUGAGUGAUGAAGGCCUUAGGGUUGUAAAGCUCUUUUAGCCGGGAUGAUAAUGACAGUACCGGGAGAAUAAGCUCCGGCUAACUACGUG